This is an RNA transcript of Gavialis gangeticus (Gharial), 2899 nucleotides long. It is a transcript of the gene named anaphase promoting complex subunit 7, with no coding region annotated. The record is from RefSeq and is a predicted model, not a curated record. The transcript is spliced from 13 exons. NCBI's taxonomy places the organism in Eukaryota, Metazoa, Chordata, Crocodylia, Gavialidae.
CCUCGGCGGCGCCAUUUUGGAGGCUCGUGACGCCUCAGCCGGCCGAAGCCGCCUCAGCGCCGACAUGAGCGUGGUGGAGCACGUGCGGGAGAUGGCGGCCGCCGGGCUGCACUCUAACGUGCGCAUCCUCAGCGGGCUGCUGCUCACCAUGAGCGGCAACAACCCAGAGUUAUUCUCCCCUUCUCAAAAGUACCAGCUGCUUGUAUAUCAUGCAGACUCCCUCUUUCAUGACAAGGAGUAUAGGAAUGCUGUAAGUAAGUAUACAAUGGCCUUGCAGCAGAAGAAAGCAUUAAGUAAAACUUCAAAAGUUAGACCCUCUACUGGGAAUGCUGCAUCAACUCCACAAAGUCAGUGUCUGCCAUCUGAAAUUGAAGUGAAAUACAAAAUGGCUGAGUGUUACACAAUGUUGAAGCAAGAUAAAGAUGCCAUUGCUAUCCUGGAUGGAAUUCCUUCAAGACAAAGAACCCCAAAGAUUAACAUGAUGUUGGCAAAUUUGUACAAGAAGGCAGGUCAGGAACGGUCAUCUGUUACAAGCUAUAAAGAAGUGUUGAGGCAGUGUCCUCUAGCGCUUGAUGCUAUAUUAGGUUUGCUCUCCCUCUCAGUAAAAGGUGCAGAAGUGGCCUCUAUGACAAUGAAUGUAAUUCAGAGUAUCCCCAACUUGGACUGGCUUUCAGUGUGGAUCAAAGCAUAUGCUUUUGUGCACACUGGAGAUAACACCAGAGCAAUCAACACCAUCUGCUCAUUAGAGAAAAAGUCUUUGCUGAGGGAUAACGUGGAUCUGUUGGGGAGCUUGGCAGACCUGUACUUCAGAGCUGGAGACAAUAAAAAUUCAAUUCUAAAAUUUGAACAGGCACAAAUGCUGGACCCUUAUCUGAUAAAAGGGAUGGAUGUCUAUGGCUAUUUAUUGGCACGUGAAGGUCGCCUAGAAGAUGUGGAGAACUUGGGCUGCCGACUCUUCAAUAUUUCUGAUCAGCAUGCAGAGCCGUGGGUUGUGUCUGGGUGCCAUAGUUUCUACAGUAAGAGAUAUUCUCGUGCCUUGUAUUUGGGAGCCAAAGCUAUUCAGCUCAACAGUAAUAGUGUCCAAGCAUUACUACUGAAAGGAGCUGCUCUUAGGAACAUGGGGCGAGUCCAGGAGGCAAUUAUACAUUUCCGCGAGGCAAUACGUCUUGCGCCUUGCAGGCUAGACUGUUAUGAAGGCCUCAUUGAAUGUUAUCUUGCAUCCAACAGUAUCCGUGAAGCAAUGGUUAUGGCUAACAAUGUAUACAAAACCCUGGGAGCAAACGCACAGACGCUUACGUUGUUGGCAACAGUCUGUCUUGAAGACCCGGUUACACAAGAGAAAGCAAAAACCUUAUUAGAUAAAGCAUUGACACAGAGACCUGAUUAUAUUAAAGCUGUGGUAAAGAAAGCGGAACUUCUUAGCAGAGAACAGAAAUAUGAAGAUGGAAUUGCUUUACUGAGGAAUGCACUGGCUAAUCAGAGUGACUGUGUGCUGCAUCGAAUACUGGGAGACUUUCUUGUAGCUGUCAAUGAAUAUCAGGAAGCUAUGGACCAGUACAGUAUUGCCCUCAGCUUGGAUCCCAAUGAUCAGAAGUCUUUAGAAGGAAUGCAGAAAAUGGAAAAGGAGGAGAGUCCAACAGAUGCAACCCAGGAAGAGGAUGUGGAUGAUAUGGAAGGAAGUGGAGAAGAAGGGGAUUUGGAGGGCAGUGAUAGUGAAGCAGCACAGUGGGCAGAUCAAGAGCAGUGGUUUGGCAUGCAAUGAAUCUCCCUAACAGGCAUGUUUCAGCACUUGUGUCCCAUGAGCUCCAUUCUUUUCUGAAGAACUUAGACUUCAGUUUUUGUAGUAACAACCCAGCCUCUCCUUCAAAGCAGCAGACUCUGGAAUCACAUAACAGUUAAAAGCAUCUCAGUGCUGAUCAUGUUUUGGAUGCUUCCUAUUUAUUAAGUAUGAGAUUGAACUCAUCUGUGUUGGAGAUUAUUUAGGGAAGCUGCAAACAUGUUCAAGUAAAACCCAAAUUGUUUAUUUUGCAAGCUCUCCAUUUCUUCCUUUCUCUGCAAUAAGCCUCAGAUUGCAUUCUGCUUCUGCAUGGUAACCUAGCUGUGUUUAGCAGUAAGCAUUGCAACGUUUUCUGGAAAGCAAGACUACCGUGGAACAAGAAGUGUGAAGGCUAGAGCUCAGCCCUGGAACAGUUCAGAGAAUGUACAGAUUGGUAAGCAUGAAAGUGUGUGCUAAUUUGACCACUUUUACUUAGUUGGGUGGUUUUACCUUAAGUCCUAAGUUAGCUAUUGCACGUGCUGUUGGAGUUUGAAAUUUGAACACUGCUGUGGUACCAUUAACCAGCUCUUGUAAAUUGGUCCUCCUUUAAUUUUGCCAUAGCCCUGGUCCUUUUAGUAAGUAGCGGAUAGAAAGAAUCCCAUUAAAGCUUAGAGAAGUUAGAUUUUACUGUAUUGCUCCUUGGCACCUAUAUGCUGAAGUCUGUUGCAUGAAAUUUCUAAAACUGUUUAUGACCAGAAUGGAUAUCAGACUGUUCCUUUCACCGGAGUUUCUGCUGUAAGAAAUUAGCUUAAAAACUUCCUUUUACAUACAGCUGUAUGUAACUUGUUCCUGGAUACCUGCCCGUAUCCUAAGACAAGUAGCUGACUGUGUUAGUCUGACCUCAGAUGGAAGGGUCGCAUUCAGAGAGGCUGCUUCACCAGAUGCUAAAAGGGACAUCACUCUUCAAUUGCAUGUUCUCUGUUUUGUGACAGCUUGCUUUGAUUACUGAAGAUAAAAGUUCAGACUGUUGCCACAGAGAUCAAUAUCUCUAUAAAUGCAUGUUAUGUUAGCACUCUAUUAGAUUAUCUUUUCAUGAUCUUGUCAAUAAGCAUCCAGUGGAAGGGAUUGAGAACUUUAAGAUAC